UAUCUAGAAGAUGGGGUGCUCGUACCAC
RNAcentral lists this small RNA (28 nucleotides) under Bombyx mori (domestic silkworm). Its description in RNAcentral is "ovarian small RNA-23749". Lineage: Eukaryota; Metazoa; Arthropoda; Insecta; Lepidoptera; Bombycidae. The record is from RNAcentral.